UACGUAGGGUGCAAGCGUUAAUCGGAAUUACUGGGCGUAAAGCGUGCGCAGGCGGUUUUGUAAGACUGACGCGAAAUCCCCGGGCUCAACCUGGGAAUGGCGUUGGUGACUGCAAGGCUAGAGUUUGGCAGAGGGGGGUAGAAUUCCACGUGUAGCAGUGAAAUGCGUAGAUAUGUGGAGGAACACCGAUGGCGAAGGCAGCCCCCUGGGUCAAAACUGACGCUCAUGCACGAAAGCGUGGGGAGCAAACAGG
RNAcentral lists this ribosomal RNA (253 nucleotides) under uncultured bacterium. RNAcentral describes it as "partial 16S ribosomal RNA". It matches the Rfam family "Bacterial small subunit ribosomal RNA", at positions 524 to 776 of the family's 1533-position model. The record is from RNAcentral.